Molecule: ribosomal RNA, 253 nt
Filed under: uncultured bacterium
Lineage: Bacteria
Description: partial 16S ribosomal RNA
Rfam family: Bacterial small subunit ribosomal RNA
Source: RNAcentral
UACGUAGGGUGCAAGCGUUAAUCGGAAUUACUGGGCGUAAAGCGUGCGCAGGCGGUUUUGUAAGUCUGUCGUGAAAUCCCCGGGCUCAACCUGGGAAUUGCGAUGGAGACUGCAAGGCUUGAGUCUGGCAGAGGGGGGUAGAAUUCCACGUGUAGCAGUGAAAUGCGUAGAGAUGUGGAGGAACACCGAUGGCGAAGGCAGCCCCCUGGGUCAAGAUUGACGCUCAUGCACGAAAGCGUGGGGAGCAAACAGG